AGGGAGCAGCAAUAGAGGCCAAGGUCAACUUUUCAGUGGGGUGGGGUGGGGGCGGGCUGGGCUUCCUUUGCACCCUGAUCCACUGCUCUAACCCAAACUGGGGGGAGCUCUCUCAUGGUAACCCAAACUGGGGGGAGCUCUCUCACGGUACAGCUCCUUUUGUGAAUAGCCAUUUUAAUUUCUGUAGGGACGGGACUGCUUGUGUCUUAGCUCUUGUUGCAUGGAGGCUUUCAUGUUGUUUGUCAUUUUGUACCCACAAGCCUUUGCUCUUUAAAAUGCUGCCUUUUCCCCCUCUUAUCCACAGUUGGGAAAUCCCAACUGCAUGGUAGGCUUGUCUCAUACUGAAACAUCCUCCAUUCCACAGUAUCCGGAGAGCCCAGACCUGUACCGUGGCCUCUGAGGCACAUAGUGCGCGCAAACACCGAGCCUCCAACUGACAGCUCAAUCUGACAGGCCUCCUGCUUCUGCCCGUGUCAAUCACACCGCCAUCCACUCCUGGGGCCUGCCUGUCACACCGCCAUCCACUCCUGGGGCCUGCCUGUCACACCGCCAUCCACUCCUGGGGCCUGCCUGUCACACCACCAUCCACUCCUGGGGCCUGCCUGUCACACCGCCAUCCACUCCUAGGGCCUGCCUGUCACACCGCCAUCCACUCCUGGGGCCUGCCUAUCACACCGCCAUCCACUCUUGGGGCCUUCCUAUCACACCGCCAUCCACUCCUGGGGCCUGCCUAUCACACCACCAUCCACUCCUGGGGCCUGCCUAUCACACCACCAUCCACUCCUGGGGCCUUCCUAUCACACCGCCAUCCACUCCUGGGGCCUGCCUAUCACACCGCCAUCCACUCCUGGGGCCUGCCUGUCACACCGCCAUCCACUCCUGGGGCCUGCCUAUCACACGGCCUGCCUGUCACUGCGCCCAGCUGUAAUGAAAGUAGUAGACUUACAUUCCAUUAAGUUCAUAUCAUCUUCCCAUACCCCAAUAUCAGCAGAAAGCAUCUUGCGGUCACAGACCGAAUCAUAGACCAAUGCUACGCUACUCUGGGGUGCUAACAGAUACGUCAUGUGCCAAAAAUUUUUCUGCAAUGCUGCUAAUAAAGCUUAUUUUCAUUUCAGAAAAUUAACCCUAUGCUGAUGUCCUAACGGGUAUCUAUGGCCUAAUUACAGGAAUACAGGAACUCCAGCGGUCUUCUCUGCAGUCAUAAACUAAUUUAGACGAGGUGUCAGACAACCACGGUCCCUUACAGCACUUGAGGGCAGAGCACCACAGUGGAAACCUCCAUUAGAAACUCCACAUCGUUCUGGAUAUGAGCAUCUGUGUGUGACUGUAACGAGAAAAGUCCUGUGUGAAAUUACAGGUAUGCUUCAUCAUGGACUGCAUUUUAUAUAGCACUUUUCAAUUGAUGCCUUUUAUUCACCCAUUCACAAACACUCACAAACACUCACACACCAACGGUGAAAGGCUGCCAUGCAAGGUACCAAUCAGCUCGUUGGGAGCAAUUAGGGGUUAGGUGUCUUGCUCAGGGACACUUCAACACGCCCAGGGUGGAGGAUCGAACCGGCAACCCUCCGACUGCCAGACAACCGCUCUUACCUCCUGAACUAUGUCGCUCAUCCUGGGGGAGAUACAGAGCACUGGGGGACCUUAAACAGGUAGACUCUAUAUCAUCAUCAUCCUCAUCAUCAACAACAACAACACUAUGAACCAUAUUUAAGUUAGGAGAAAAAUACUGUAUCAAAUUUAUUUUGUGCUUAUUAGUAAUGGAUAAUGACUAUAUGGUUUUGAAAGCACAUUUAUAUUUGGAGGACUUUUAUUUUUGUUGGAACUUUAAUUUUGAAAGAUCAAUUAGGCACCUGCUGUUUUCUCAAGAUGGCGCCUUACUGAGCACCACAGUCAGAAAAAGUAGUUUGGCAGACACUAGUGCCAACAGGUUUUCAUCAGCUUCAUGCUCCAUUUUGCUUUGCUUUACCUUAAGUUUGCCUUCAUUCUUAAGUAUAAUUGGAUUAUGUUCUCCCUUACAACUGGAGGAUCCUCCAUUGAUGGCUUCUCUCUCAAGCACAAAGGUAUGGCUUGCUUUACUAAAUCAGCUGUUCUGGUGUCUAUCUGUGGCUGUGGAAAAAUGAGCUGAACCAGACCAGCUGUUGCAAUUGUACCGGGAAUAAUUGUGAAUUGUUGGGAACUGAGAUUAUUGUUUGUUUGCUGGAAGGAGUUUGGAAAUUGUAUUUGUUUUGAAUUGUCUGGAGCAGAGGUUGUGUCAGACGUUCACUGAACAGGAGUACUGGUUUGUGAGUCUCCAUACAAACACUUUCUCUACUAUUUUAUUUCACAGUUUGUCCACUUAAUAAAAUUAAACAUGAGCCCAUGUUCAAA
Anguilla rostrata (American eel) is the source of this 2370-nucleotide long non-coding RNA. RefSeq lists it as uncharacterized. The record is from RefSeq and is a predicted model, not a curated record. The transcript is spliced from 2 exons. Lineage: Eukaryota; Metazoa; Chordata; Actinopteri; Anguilliformes; Anguillidae.